RNAcentral lists this ribosomal RNA (450 nucleotides) under uncultured bacterium. RNAcentral describes it as "bacterial SSU rRNA". It matches the Rfam family "Bacterial small subunit ribosomal RNA", at positions 335 to 799 of the family's 1533-position model. The record is from RNAcentral.
ACUCCUACGGGAGGCAGCAGUGGGGAAUAUUGCACAAUGGGCGCAAGCCUGAUGCAGCAACGCCGUGUGAGUGAAGAAGGUUUUCGGAUCGUAAAACUCUGUCCUAAGGGAAGAAACAAAUGACGGUACCUUAGGAGGAAGCCCGGCUAACUACGUGCCAGCAGCCGCGGUAAUACGUAGGGGGCAAGCGUUAUCCGGAAUCACUGGGGCGUAAAGGGUGCGUAGGCGGCUUAGCAAGCCAGGGGUGAAAGGCAUUGGCUCAACCAAUGUAAGCCUUUGGAACUGUUAAGCUUGAGUGCAGGAGAGGUAAGUGGAAUUCCUAGUGUAGAGGUGAAAUUCGUAGAUAUUAGGAGGAACACCAGUGGCGAAGGCGACUUACUGGACUGUAACUGACGCUGAUGCACGAAAGCGUGGGUAGCGAACAGGAUUAGAUACCCUGGUAGCACAGAG